Long non-coding RNA from Equus asinus (donkey), 5729 nucleotides. NCBI's taxonomy places the organism in Eukaryota, Metazoa, Chordata, Mammalia, Perissodactyla, Equidae. The record is from Ensembl.
AUUUGAGCCUGCGGAGAUGCCUCAGUUCUGCGCACCUGCUUCUCUCACUGCUGGGACCUGUACGGCGGGGGCAGGUCCUUUAGAGAAGUUCCAUCUCGCCAAGUCGAACAAGGAUCUGUAUUCACAGUAUGAGUGAGCCCCCUGCAUUGGCCAUCUUCCCUGUUUUCUCGACCAGCACCAUCUACAGAAGCUGACAAUGACCAUUGGGUUUUCCAGUGGAUACCAGAACGCCCCUUCCUGCUGCCUGGAGGGAAGACAGGAUAACCGUUUGGCAGCAAGAGGGAAAAAUGAGAGAAAGCUUCCCUCGGACGUCAGUGAUCCUUGGCUGUGUGUUCACAUGUAAGAGCAGGCCACCAACAGGCCGGGUGGAUGCUGUAAGUGCCUGAGAUUGACGUGUCGAUUGGAUGAGCAUCACUCUACAACAGUCGGUUGUUCCUGCCAACUUGUCUGCUACCGACUCCUAAACGGCACAGCUGUGUUCCGGUCCCCAGGUCUCUGCGGCCCCACAACGGGCCGUGGGUGGUCAGCCCCGCUCAAGAGGUGUCAUUCUGAUGGUUUGGGUACAUAAAAUAGAGAAGAGGCAUUUCUUGAGCCAUGAUCUGUGACAUUCAAACGAGCCUCGAGUGACGACGCCAAAAGAGAAAAAAUAGUCCAAGAAGGUGGUUGAAAUAGUGCAGCUGAGCCUGUGAUCCCACAAGCGUCCACAAGAGGGCGCGCAGGAGCCAGAAUUCAGGAGGCCCUGGCGAGCGGGUACUGAGAAGUGAUGGUCACAACGCGGAGGCCCAGAGAGGGAGCGGGCGCGCCCCAGCGCGCAGCCAGUGACCCCUGCCUGUCUCCCUGCGAGGAUCAGGGUCAGGAAUGGGGAGGUGCGGGAACUUGUCUUGUUACCCGCCUGGCUGGAGAGGAAGAGUCAACUAGGGAAGCGGAAGGUGCGUUUUUCAACACCACCACUUAAAGGACACUUGGAUGACAUUGUUACCGGAUACGGAUAAAAGAUUUAAAGUUAUAAUAACUGUGAAUGUUGAGAAAGCGGCGCGAUCAUCUCCAAAAUCCUCUGCAGAAAUUAGAAAUUCGGAUGCAUGCCAACAACAGUGCGUGCAUAUACAAGCCAGGUAUUCCUAGUUAACGACCAAAGCGACGUGGCCACGUGGCAGGUUUCCAAUCCCAGUUAACAACUCACUUAGCUCCUCCCACUAGGGAGCUGCAGUUCUUGACAGCUUUUUUAACUGAGGGGCUUUGCAUUAUUUUGAAGCUGACUGCAUAAACAUUUUUAUGUGGCAUUUUCCCAAAGCCACAUAGGUAGUUGAAUUUCUCCUAAACGGUGACCUCACCCCGGAUGAUCUCCCUUGCUAUGUCCUUUACUCCAGAAUGGUGGAAAUGUGUGACCGCACCCAACAAUCACAGCUAUGGACUUCGGAAAUUCCAGCCACCUGCCCCAUAUCCACGCAGGGGCCGGUGUGGAGGCAGCCUCGGCAGAGGCCCGCCCGCCCCGGAGGGCUGGCCCCACCCCUCCUCCAAGUCGACUCCUCUUGGGGAGUGGAGAAGGGGCUCCCCUCCGAGGAGUCCUCCUGUCUCCUCCUGCUCCCACUUCCCACGAGCACUGGGUGGAAGCUGUCUGCCACUCUGUUCCAGCUACCCCGCUCCUCAACAUAGAUCCAUGCUGGGGGCAGGCGGGAGAUGAGAGAAACUGGGUGUCAGUUUCAAGCAUUCACAGGACCAUCAGACUUUCCACGUUGCCGAGAAGAAGCUGUCAGUACAACUCCUGUGAGGUGUCUCCUUGGCCUUCCUCUGCCUGGAACUGCCUCCUGAAAGCUCCCGCAGAAGAGAAAGGGCCAGGCCCUAGGAAGGAGCACAAGAGGGCCACCAGCACAGGCUCUGACCCCCCCUGCUGGGAUUCCGGGCCUGCUUCCACCUCCAGUGACCUCGAGCAAGCCCCUACCCAAGACACCGCCCCUCGCUGGGCCUCCGUUUCCACCUCUGUAGGGUGGGGACAUUAAUAACCACCUGCUUCCCAGGGUCCCUGUGAGAAUGAAAUGCGCUCCCCCGGGUGACCGCGCCAAGCACCUGGUAAUGAAUGGGACACAUGUUUGCUGACGGCCUGGGGUGUCUGCGGGCCAGGGUCAGCAUCUGGGAAGUCCCACCCCUCAGAGAAUUUGUGGUCCCACCUUAAAGAGUGACCCGGCCAGGAAGACUCUCCCACUAAUUCAGAUUCACCCGUGGGGAUGCACGGGGAAUCGCUCAGCGGAGGAGGGCCAGGGUCCCGGCUCUAGCUUUGCCCGAGUGUCUGUCACUCUCCUUCCACCUCUGGGCCGCCUCUAAGACUUGAGGAGCUUGGACAGGAGCCUGGGGGCCUCUUCGACCCGGGUUAUCCAUUCAGACUUGCCCCUCCCAGCGGGCCGCCCCCUCCCUGGGCAGCCAGCGAAUCUGCAAGUUUGCCCAGGGAGUACGUCUGGUGGUCUCAGAACCACACUCCUUCCAGCCCUCAGGAGUCAGCCGGGUGGCCAGGCCCAAAGGUGAUGGCCGCAGCCCAGCCUUCAUCUUCUGGACCCCCACCCACCUCCACCAAGCUCUGUUUUCCCCCUCGGAGCCCAGAUUAUACUUCGUGGACAAUCCCUUGCUCUCUCUGGGCCUCAGCUUCCCCUCGCAAGAAUGGGCAGCUGGAUGUCUCCAGCGGUCCAGCUAAGCCUUCUCACAAUGUAGGAACUCGGCCUCCAUCCUCCACUCCCCACCCCCACUGCAGGUGCCUAAGGACCUCGCCCCCCUUGCCCCACCCCUCCCCGUUGCUCCCUCCCCUCUCUCCUCCUCUGCUGCUGCACUGGGGCCACUGCUGGCUGGGGUCCCAGGCACCAGAGGGGGACCCCACAGAACAGUAGAAGGAAGGGCGGUGGUCUUUAGGAGGAGAGAAUGGGAUGCCCUGGCUCCAUCAAGCCAGCCCAUUCCUGCCCCUCUCCUGUCAUGUUUUAAUGUCUCUUCACAUUCUUAUCUCCCACCAACAAGGAGGCUCCUGAGGGCGGGGCGGGGGCAGGGGAGGGUGGCAUCCAGCCUUUCCCCUCUGUAUCCCCAGCACCUGGAUCCUGGGACCUGUUUCCUGACGGGACAGGGCAAGGUCUGGGGCAGGAGCCAGGACGAUAACAUGGUCCUGGCCUGUGGCCUGUUCAACAUGCUCCAAGUGUCCCCACAGGGCCAAACCAUGCCACCAAGACAGGGCUGCCCUGGACCCUCCCUCGGCUGUCUCCUCCCUCCCUUCUCAGCUCCUCUGCCUUUUAAUCUCUCACUCCCGCUUCCCUGCCACCCAAGACCUCCUCCGCUUGUGUCCAGCCUUCCCCCUGGAGAGCCAGUCAUUUCCAGCUCUUUCUGACUCCAACUGGAAGGGGGGUAGGGAUGGGGGAGAAGGGGCUUUGGAUCACGAGGGUAGAGGAAGGGAGGCAGGACCCUCACAGUGCUCUGGCUUCAGGGCGAAAUGUCGAAAAAUCAUUCAGAACUUCUUCCUACGGGAAAUUCGCCUACUUGCGUAAUUUUCAUAUCCAAUUCUGCUACAAGAGCGUCUGUGUCCUUCCCACCUUCAGUUCCGUUUCUAAACACUCUCUUUUAUUACUUGAGUCAUGGGAAGUGCCAGGUCCCAAUGAGUGUGUGGGGGGGACGAGAGGUGGCAGAGGAGGAGAAAUGCCUCAGUGACAGUGAAGAAUCGCUAAGUGUGAUUUCGUUGAACCCAGAUCCUGGUGUCAGCCCUGAAAUUCCUCCUCCUCCAGGAAGCCCUUCUGGGCUGGGGGGAAAGCCCCUGAUUUAAGAAACAGUAUCAGAUGUUUCCUAGAUCUAACUGGUUGUUCUCCUGCCUCUGCCCCUCGCCGCCUGAGGAGCCCUUCCUCCAUAUGUGUCCAAGUGCCCCCAUCUGUCACUGCCAGGUGUAAAGGGCACUACUUCCCAGGAGAAGAGCCUAACCCUCCCCAGGCACUUUCUACCCUGGGCUGCCGUGAUCACAGGUCUGGGGACCAGCCUGGCUUCGCCCAAGUGUCUUUCAAGUCACUUUCAGCCCCUGGGGCUUCUCUUCAGAAACCUCAGCGGUGGAUACAAGCUUACCGGCCAGUUAGGCCACCCUGCCCUGGGUGUCAUCUCCUCGCUAGCCUGUGAGCAAGAUCCCUGACCCAGAUUCAGUGGACACCGAGGAAUCCGUCCAUUCAUUGGGUGACUCAGUGGAUGAAUUCAGAGCUUGGGGACACUGAGACCUAGAGCUGUCUCGACAUUAAGCCUCUGAGCCACCUCAGCAACUGUCCUUCCUUUUCCGUCCCAGCCCAGUAACAAAAUCACCUUCUAGGCCACCAGCCAGCCAGCCACACCCUCAGCAUGACCUCAGGGGAAAUGAUCAAAAAGGGUGACAAUGUGUCCUCUCGCUGUUUUUUUCUUCCAACAUAAUUAUACACCAUGGAGAUAAUAAUACUAACUGCAAAUAUUUAUUAAACGCCUAUUGUAUGCCUGGCACUCAGCUCUAGGCUUUCCUGUGCAAUAUCUCAGUUAAUCUUCAUGAUCCUCCAUGAGGUGGGGUCUCUACUAGCCCCCAAUUUCCAGACCAGGAAACGAGGCUGGAAGAAAUGAAACUUGCCAAGGUCACAUAGCAAGCUGGUGACAGAACCUGGAGACUCUGUGAAAUCAUUUUUGAUGCAUUUGUGUGGCAAUAUUUUUGCAUUUCUAUAGUGCUCUUUCAGACUUCUCAUUUUUAUUAUUUUAAUUUAAUGUCCUGAUCUAUUUUCAGUUCAUUAUGCCUGUUCUGUUCGUUUGGCAACGUUUCUGCGAACUGUCAAUUUUGUCCUCCUCUUUAAGAGAGUAGCAAUAGUCAGUGGAAUUUGUGAGAAUAUGGGUAAAUAGGUAAAGUGGACAUGGAUGACUGAAAAUUAAUUGUUAAAAUGAAACAACCUAGAAAGCAGACAAAAUUGCUUGCAAAAGGCAUAUGAAAAUUGCAGAAUCUCCCCAGGGUGCGAGGACCUUGUCAAGACGUGAACGAAUGGCUGUAAACAUUCAUUUCCAACCAAAUUCCUUUCAGCUGAUUCACUUGGAACUUAGGGGAAAAAACUUGAAAUUUGUUAUAACUUUGUCAGGCAAAUGCAUAAUUGCUGGGAAAUUAUUUAGAAAUUAAAAGCCCAGAAGUCUGGAGAUGAAAAUGGAGAGUAAAGAGAUACCAAUAAAAGCUAAAAUACACUUUUAAGGUUUUCAGGCCAACCCAUGGGGCAUAAAAAUUAAUAAUACCUGAAAAAACGGGCCAGAAAUACUGUUUCAACCAACUUUUUCUGUAUCAGAUUCACUGAAGUAUAAUUGUGUGCAAUAAAAUGCACAGAUUUUUAAGUGUAGCGUUUAACUUCUGACAAAUAUAUAUACCCAAGUAACAAUCAUACAGUCAAGAUAUCCAUUGACAUUGACAUUGACAUUGAUAAGAGACUGAACAUUUACAUCAGCCCAGAAAGUUCCUCUGUGCCUCUUGGUAAUCAAUCCCUUCACCCCUAGUGAACCAAUGAUCUGGUCCCUAUAAUCAGAGUUUACGUCUGCCUGUUCUAGAAGUUUAUAAAAAUGGACUCAUACAUGCUGUAUUUUUUCAUGCUUGUCUUCUUGCACUCAGUAAAAUGUUUUUGAGAAUUAUGUAUUUUGUUGCUUGAACCAACUCCGGGUCAGUCAGUUCUUUCAUUUUGAUCCAUUGUAUGAAAACACCACACUGUGUUUAUCCAUUUGUCUCUUGAUGGGCA